This 334-nucleotide long non-coding RNA is filed under the name Cricetulus griseus (Chinese hamster). RNAcentral's name for it is "lncRNA (ENSCGRG00000025640.1)". Lineage: Eukaryota; Metazoa; Chordata; Mammalia; Rodentia; Cricetidae. The record is from RNAcentral.
GAGUGGACAUUUCUAGAUAAAUUCCAGCCGUACUAGGAUAUGGGGCCCAGAUACUCUGAUGCCAAAUUCAGGGGUGUCUCAGUCAUCCUGCCCUGCCCUCCAAGUUGUAGAUUCAAUCUGCCUCAGUCAAUCAGUGUUCAUAUUUAUGGCCCUCUUUGUCACCAGCCCCUCAGCCUUCCCCACUUCUCCUGCUCAGCUCCCAACUCCCUUUAUCUACAAAACUAGGUGCUGCAGCCCCAGGACUGGCCACCCUUAAAAUGACCCUUGCCCAGCAAUGGGAGCUGGGAGACAGCAUAGGAGGGUUCCCUGGCAAACCCUGCUCUAGAGCCACUAC